Molecule: long non-coding RNA, 674 nt
Organism: Mauremys mutica (yellowpond turtle)
Lineage: Eukaryota; Metazoa; Chordata; Testudines; Geoemydidae
Exons: 3
Source: RefSeq, a predicted model, not a curated record
GCUGCUGUAGGAGCUAUAUUUUUCUCCCAGGGGAACCUCCCCACAGGUGAGGACAAGCCUAGAGCAAUAAUCCUGACCUGUUUAUAAGAAGCUCAUCAGAAGCAGCUACCCUGAAUCAGCCUAUAUCAGCAGUAGGGAAUUUCAGACAUGCUAUGGUUCACCAGAAACCUCCAUGGUCUGCUCUUCCACCCACUUAUUAAACAGAGAGUAGCAGGGUCCCUAGCAGCAAACUCUAGCCCAGACUCUCUACAGCUAUACAAACCCCCAGGCAAAGCUAAACUCAGCCUCAGUAUAAAUGAAAGGGCUCUCUUCCCAACAGCUGCAGUUGAUCAAGUCUCGGCACCCCCACCCCAAGCUGGAGCCGCAAGCACUGGCUUGCCUCACCAUGGGCGGGAAGCCCCAAGCCUCGGUGCCACCCCACAGGGCUGGAGCCACAAGUGCCAGCUUGCCCCGAACUUCCGUGCACCUCCAGGCAGUGGAACUGGUCACUGAUGGCAAGAACAUCUGGAAUUCACUCUUUUCCUGAUGUUACCUCUCCAUGUUUAAUCAAGACCUUGUGGGGGCGGAAGAGGAAGGAAUUGCUGCCAGCAUUAAGCUGUUCAAUUUUCUUGAGCAUAUAGUAGAGCUCUGGAGAAUAUUUAGUCAGGCUUUAUGUUAAGGGUACAUUAUCAAUA